Molecule: transfer RNA, 74 nt
Filed under: Candidatus Kerfeldbacteria bacterium
Lineage: Bacteria; Candidatus Kerfeldiibacteriota
Description: tRNA-Met
Rfam family: tRNA
About the family: Transfer RNA (tRNA) molecules are approximately 80 nucleotides in length. Their secondary structure includes four short double-helical elements and three loops (D, anti-codon, and T loops). Further hydrogen bonds mediate the characteristic L-shaped molecular structure. tRNAs have two regions of fundamental functional importance: the anti-codon, which is responsible for specific mRNA codon recognition, and the 3' end, to which the tRNAs corresponding amino acid is attached (by aminoacyl-tRNA synthetases). tRNAs cope with the degeneracy of the genetic code in two manners: having more than one tRNA (with a specific anti-codon) for a particular amino acid; and 'wobble' base-pairing, i.e. permitting non-standard base-pairing at the 3rd anti-codon position.
Source: RNAcentral
CGCGGGGUGGAGCAGUCUGGCAGCUCGCCUGGCUCAUAACCAGGAGAUCGCCGGUUCAAAUCCGGCCCCCGCAA